UAACAUCAGGAAGCUGGCAGUUGAAUGGGGCUGUACUGAGGGAGCCUCUAGCCGUUCUCUGGAUGGGGGGAAGAAUUGGAAAUUAGGUAGAGAGUGUAUAGGAGAAGGCGCAGGGGAAAAGUAGCAAGGUUUAAGAUGGUGCAAAGUUUGGCUGUUGAUUAGAGGGUCCUUGAGCUAGAACCCAAAAUAGAAGUGGCACUGAUUUGGGCAAUGCCUGGAGGGCCAAGACACCCUGAGUCACAGAGAAAGAGAACACAAAAGGCAGCAGUAUGUGUAGUGAGCAAUAGAAGGGACAUCAGACCUGGAAAGAGAAAAUUCUCAGGUGUGGUGGCCUGCAUACAGAAUAGAGACUGUUCUGACUGUGUCUGGAGAUGUUGCGAUAAUCUAACAUGCCUACAAACUUACCUUAUCUCAACUGUAAAAAAUCACAUCACAUAGAUGAUCAAGAAGUACUGUGCAGCCACAAACUGUCAAGUGUAUGAGCAGUGGAGCAACAAAAGCCACCUGCUUUCCGAAUAAUAACUUUGACCAAACUACCAGAAUAAUGUUGCUACUGCAGGCCUUAUGUCAUCUUGUUAUAAUCAUUUUUUCAUGUGACAUUUUACUGGGGCUGUCUUGUUGCAGCAAAAUCACAUCACAUUAGAUCUGGUUAUGCACAUCAUGGAGCUUGAUAUUUGGGCUUGGAUAUGCCAUUUCUGUUAUUAUUCAGUGCAAGAGUCUGGCUUUAUGGUUUCUAACUCCAGGCUCCUUACAUGGAAUAUUGGACUAAAAUGUCCAUGUAUGAAAGUCCAAGUUAAAAUUCAUGACAGAAGAUGUGUGACCAGAUGAGAUGUCACCAUAAUCAGACAUCACAGAUUGAAUUCAAUGUCCUGAAUGAAUCUUCCAUACAAGGAUUAGGUAGUACCACACUACAUGAAAAAUAAAAAAUAUAUGCAGGCCAAAAGACACUAGUGACUCUUUGACCAGGAUUGGCAUAAUCUAGUGAAUGUUGUAAAUAAACAGAGCAAGCCACCCAAAAGUCUGUCUCUCAACUUCAGCACAGAACAUGCUGCAGUAAUUGAAGAGCAAAUAAUAAUCCAAUAUUAAUAACCCAAAACUUCACAUCACAAGUGGGUGAG
Long non-coding RNA from Dermochelys coriacea (leatherback sea turtle), 1118 nucleotides. RefSeq lists it as uncharacterized. The record is from RefSeq and is a predicted model, not a curated record. Lineage: Eukaryota; Metazoa; Chordata; Testudines; Dermochelyidae. The transcript has 3 exons.